This 376-nucleotide ribosomal RNA is filed under the name uncultured organism. RNAcentral's name for it is "partial 16S ribosomal RNA". It matches the Rfam family "Bacterial small subunit ribosomal RNA", at positions 527 to 897 of the family's 1533-position model. The record is from RNAcentral.
GUAGGUGGCAAGCGUUGUCCGGGAAUUAUUGGGGCGUAAAGCACGCGCAGGCGGUUCCUUAAGUCUGAUGUGAAAGCCCACGGGCUCAACCGUGGAGGGUCAUUGGAAACUGGAGAACUUGAGUACAGAAGAGGAAAGCGGAAUUCCACGUGUAGCGGUGAAAUGCGUAGAGAUGUGGAGGAACACCAGUGGCGAAGGCGGCUUUCUGGUCUGUAACUGACGCUGAGGCGCGAAAGCGUGGGGAGCAAACAGGAUUAGAUACCCUGGUAGUCCACGCCGUAAACGAUGAGUGCUAAGUGUUAGGGGGUUUCCGCCCCUUAGUGCUGCAGCUAACGCAUUAAGCACUCCGCCUGGGGAGUACGGCCGCAAAGGCUGA